Molecule: ribosomal RNA, 439 nt
Filed under: uncultured bacterium
Lineage: Bacteria
Description: partial 16S ribosomal RNA
Rfam family: Bacterial small subunit ribosomal RNA
Source: RNAcentral
CUACGGGUUGCUGCAGUGAGGAAUAUUGCACAAUGGGGGGAACCCUGAUGCAGCAACGCCGCGUGGAGGAUGACGCAUUUCGGUGUGUAAACUCCUUUUAUAUGUCAAGAAAAUGACGGUAGCAUAUGAAUAAGCACCGGCUAACUCCGUGCUAGCAGCCGCGGUAAUACGGAGGGUGCAAGCGUUACUCGGAAUCACUGGGCGUAAAGGACGCGUAGGCGGGUUGGAAAGUCAGGUGUGAAAUCCCACAGCUUAACUGUAGAACUGCACUUGAAACUUCUAAUCUAGAGUAUGGGAGGGGGAGAUGGAAUUAGUGGUGUAGGGGUAAUAUCCGUAGAUAUCACUAGGAAUACCUAAAGCGAAGGCGAUCUCCUGGAACAUUACUGACGCUAAGGCGUGAAAGCGUGGGGAGCAAACAGGAUUAGAUACCCUCGUAGUC